Molecule: ribosomal RNA, 254 nt
Filed under: uncultured bacterium
Lineage: Bacteria
Description: partial 16S ribosomal RNA
Rfam family: Bacterial small subunit ribosomal RNA
Source: RNAcentral
UACAGAGGGUGCGAGCGUUGUUCGGAAUUACUGGGCGUAAAGCGCGCGCAGGCGGCCUUUUAAGUCCGACGGUGAAAUGCCGGGGCUCAACCCCGUGCCCGCCGCGGAUACUGGGAGGCUGGAGACGAGUAGAGGCAAGCGGAAUUCCGGGUGUAGCGGUGGAAUGCGUAGAGAUCCGGAAGAACACCGGAGGCGAAGGCGGCUUGCUGGGCUAGGUCUGACGCUGAGGCGCGAAAGCGUGGGGAGCGAACAGG